Long non-coding RNA from Micropterus salmoides (largemouth bass), 533 nucleotides. RefSeq lists it as uncharacterized. The transcript is spliced from 5 exons. NCBI's taxonomy places the organism in Eukaryota, Metazoa, Chordata, Actinopteri, Centrarchiformes, Centrarchidae. The record is from RefSeq and is a predicted model, not a curated record.
AUACAGCUGAAGCUGGUACACAGAGGAGCCCGGGAGCUACCUGAAUUAAAUCUCCCAACACUUGAGGAAUGAGAAGACUGAAACUCAGAACUGGCUACACAAAUGUCCUGAGAUCGAAGUUCUUAUUGACAAGGACCUCGCUGGAUUUGAGAGCUGUUCGGACUGUUGGGGUAAGAAUGCGAAGACUGAAAACUUCAGAGCUUCUGAACAAAGAUCCAAGGUCCUGAGAUCGAAGUUCUUAUUGACCAGGACCUUUGCCGGAUUUGAGAGCUGGUUGAUUCAUGACACAACGAUGGGGAAAGUGCCUCUUCAUGAUGAUGCUGGUGAUCUUGUUUUUAUUUUAAAGGUGCCCAAACACCAAUUUUUUUUUUUUUUUUUCCCCCAAUGUCACCACUGACCAGAAAGCUGUUGUUGUUCUAAAGGAACAAGCCUGAAUGAAGACACUACAGUGUGUAAUAUGGUUUAAUAUUGAAGCUAUUGCAUCAAACUGUUGACUUGUAUUUGUCGAAUAAACAGUAACUGAGUUGGAAACA